AUGGAGUCUUAGACCUUUUAGACCUUUAGCUCCAGAAAGGGAAACUGUUCCACCAAGAGGGAUGAGCAGCACCGCAGAGGCAGUUUGAGAAGGACCCUGGAAGAGCUGCUCACAUGGAUGGACAGGAGAAACCAGGAGCAGCUUCAAUUCCUCAGAGCACCGAGAAGAAGGCUUUUCAGCAGGAAAAUACAUUGAUGAACUGGCUCAGGAAGCCAGAGGCACAGCAUAGAAAAUCGGAGCAUUCCCUCUGGAGAGGCACAUUGAACUGGUGGCCGAAUGAGUUCAAGGUCUGCUUGCUGCCAAGGCCACUGAUCCUGAAGUGAAGAUGAAGUGCCAUCUCCUCCUCUUCCUUCUGCCACCCAGGGUGCUGCUGAGCCGGAGGAUCCUCUUUCAAGGACCCCCCGCCUCACCAGGAGGAGAACAUGGAGUCUGCUGGACUCCCAGGACCUUACCCUCUCCCAGCACCUGAAAUCGUUCGUGGGAUGACCCCUCCAGCAUCUAAGAGGGGAACAAUGAGGGAGUCCUGGAACCCCUUCAAGUGCUCAGCUGCCCCAAACCCUUCACAGGAGGUUGAUUUCCCCUACCCCCCCCCCAUCAUCCCCCCUUUAUCAGGAGGAGGGCAAAGAGAUGGGUGCAGACACAGUAACAUUUGCCAGGUGUUCCCCCAAUGUUGAUUUUUGGUUGACUUUUCUUUUAAAAAAAUAUUUAAGUUACAUGUUCCAUCUAGUACUUCUAAUAAAUGCUAUAGUUGCCUUGACUUGUGUGUCAAGGCCCCUCCUUCCUAAAUAUACUGAAAUGAAGUUGUUUUCAGGUUCAGGAUAUGAAACUGAAUGGAAUAACUGUCUGGUGCCAGGAUACUGCAAAACACUCUUCGGUCUGCCCUUCACCCCUAUACCAGGUGCAGAAAAAUCCCUGGCCCCAAGAUACAAGGGAGGGAUGGGGAAAGUGUCCUUUGUGUUACAUGCUAACAGAAAGCACUACUAGUUUUCAAUGCAGCAGAACUCUACCACACAGAAAAGAGGUAGAUGAACAUCUUUAUGGUUUAUUUCACAUGCAGAAAAUUGAAACAAUUCCAGCAACAAUACUGGCAAUGACAACACCUGCCACUACCCUGUGCACAAACUGCCCCUCCAUCCCCCAAAAAAGCCUUGACCAGGUUCAACGAUAGUAUGGGUGAAUGCUGUUAGCACUGCUGACCGUGAAUGGAAUGGUUAAAAGGAAGAAGGGCUGCAUGCCUCCCACACAAGCAAAUCUUCAUAAGGUCCUCAAGAGAGACUGAGUACACCAGAGAACAAGUUUGUAGACAAGUGUGAAUAGUGAACACAAAAACAUGGCCCAAUGACCGUGUUACAACUCAGCUGCCACUUUCCACAGCACAAACCCCAUCCUAAGGAGAUAACCCAGUGGAUGUGCCCGGUCAUAAUUGUCUUUAAUGUGUGCAAUGUCACAGGAGCAAAUGGCUAAUGACCUUCAACUACAGGGAAACAAAACCCUCCCAAAGCUAAGUAGCAUCACACAUAUGUACCAAUGUUCCCUUUUGUGCAUUUCCAGCA
Long non-coding RNA from Dermochelys coriacea (leatherback sea turtle), 1553 nucleotides. RefSeq lists it as uncharacterized. NCBI's taxonomy places the organism in Eukaryota, Metazoa, Chordata, Testudines, Dermochelyidae. The record is from RefSeq and is a predicted model, not a curated record. The transcript is spliced from 3 exons.